CGUCAAAAAAUAUUUACGUAAAUCGCCCAAUGCUUUGCAAUAUUGGCAUUUGUGUUUGAUUUGAUUAAAUCUAAAAAUAAUGAUAACAAAAUUUUCGAAACGAUCACAUGGUUUAUAGGAAAAUUAUACUGAUACAUGAGCACGGCCUACAUACGAUCAGUUGAACGACCGGUAAAUUCACCGCAAAUUGUUCUUUUAGCCACUCUUCUAAAUCUAAUAUAUGGCUAAAAAAUCAAAAGUGAUGUUAUUCGUAAGUUUACCGAGUGUGCAUAAAAAUUCAUACUUGAAUCAGGUAUAGGAAUCACAAUAAAAUAAUUGUGCAUCAUAAUCUAAAAGUGGUUCAUCAUGCAGCGUUCUAGGAUGUUGAAACUUUUAAUUGGAACGGUUUUAACGUUACAUUUGGGUUUUUACUUCGCAAAACCAUUAAUUUUACCAGCAUCAGAAAAAAGCACAAACAACACUCCAGAAAUUAGACCAUCAUAUUGAUGAACCAUAGCUAUUUCGUCAUGAAAAUUAUGAUAUAUAAUACAUACGAGAAGAAAAACAUUUUUUUAUGAAUAAUAUACUCAGUGUAUUUUGAA
This is a long non-coding RNA of Toxorhynchites rutilus septentrionalis, 581 nucleotides long. RefSeq lists it as uncharacterized. The record is from RefSeq and is a predicted model, not a curated record. Lineage: Eukaryota; Metazoa; Arthropoda; Insecta; Diptera; Culicidae. The transcript is spliced from 2 exons.